RNAcentral lists this small RNA (840 nucleotides) under Pongo abelii (Sumatran orangutan). Its description in RNAcentral is "processed transcript". The record is from RNAcentral. Lineage: Eukaryota; Metazoa; Chordata; Mammalia; Primates; Hominidae.
GAGGCCCCGACGCGGCUGUCGCGAGGGCGGGGGUCGGGGCUGCAGGCGGGGCAGGGCUGGGUGUGGGAGCGCGACGCACCUGCCUGCUUCCUGCACGGGUGGUCCCCAAGCACUGCGGGGCCCCAGCCCAAAGCGGACCUUGACUACCGCCCAGCCGCGCGCUCCCAGGACCUCCCGCCCGCGGAGCCCGCUCCGAUUGCUCUUCGCCCGGGUCGGCGGAGGCCCCGUCUCCUGUACCCGGCGCUGGGACUGCUCCGCACCGCGCGGCUCCCUUUCAGCAGCUGCAGGAGCAUGCGGAGGAGGCCCUGCCGGCUCCGCGGGUCAUGGAGGAGUUCCGGCGCUCCUACAGCCGCCUGUGCAGGGAGAGUGGGGCCGAGCCCCAGGAGGCUGUCCUGCAGCAGCUGCACCAGCUUCCCAGGGGCCGGCUGGACCUGGCCACGCAAAGCCUGACGGUGGAGACCUGCAGGGCCCUGGGCAAGCUGCUGCCGAGGGAGACGCUGUGCACGGAGCUGGUCCUGAGUGACUGCAUGCUCAGCGAGGAAGGGCAACAACCUUCGGGCCGCAGGGGCCGAGGCUCUGGGAAAACUCCUCCAACAGAACAAGUCCAUUCAGAGCCUCACGCUGGAGUGGAACAGCCUGGGCACGUGGGACGAUGCCUUCGCCACCUUCUGCGGGGGCCUGGCGGCCAACGGCGCCCUGCAGCAGCUGGACCUCCGCAACAACCAGAUCAGUCACAAGGGCGCCGAGGAGCUGGCCCUAGCCCUGAAGGGCAACACCACCCUCCAGCAGCUGGACCUGCGCUGGAAUAAUGUUGGCCUCCUGGGGGGCCGGGCCCUCAUG